UGGGGAAUAUUGGGCAAUGGACGCAAGUCUGACCCAGCGACGCCGCGUGCGGGAUGAAGGCCUUCGGGUUGUAAACCGCUUUCAGUAGGGAAGAAGCGAAAGUGACGGUACCUACAAAAGAAGCACCGGCUAACUAUGUGCCAGCAGCCGCGUAAU
Molecule: ribosomal RNA, 156 nt
Filed under: uncultured bacterium
Lineage: Bacteria
Description: partial 16S ribosomal RNA
Rfam family: Bacterial small subunit ribosomal RNA
Source: RNAcentral